GUGACUCGGUCGUGGCGGUACCAUUCUAUUGAUCGUUUUCACGUGGCGAGACGGGUGAGUAACGCGUAACAACCUGUCCUUGGGAGGGGGACAACCGCUGGAAACGGUUGCUAAUACCCCAUAGGCUGAGGAGCGAAAGGAGGAAUCCACCUAAGGAGGGGCUUGCGUCUGAUUAGCUAGUUGGUGAGGCAAUGGCUUACCAAGGCGAC
This 209-nucleotide ribosomal RNA is filed under the name Bartramia leptodonta. RNAcentral's name for it is "partial small subunit ribosomal RNA". The stretch from base 51 to 209 matches the Rfam family "Bacterial small subunit ribosomal RNA", at positions 102 to 277 of the family's 1533-position model. The record is from RNAcentral. Lineage: Eukaryota; Viridiplantae; Streptophyta; Bryopsida; Bartramiales; Bartramiaceae.